UAAUAUGCUCUUUAUGACAGGUUACUACUAAGGCAAUGCAGCAAACUAAUUUCAUCCACAAGGCACCUAAAAAGAUUUUUGAGGCUCCCUUACUGCCACUCCCAAAGAGGAGCACUGCAAAGUGGCUAGAAUUUCAUGCAGUCUGGUUUAAUUCAUAUGGAGCAUCUGCUCUCAAUUAUGUUUGGAGCACUCCUCUAGCUUUUUGACCAUUUUGUCAUUUUAGGUGUAAAUGCCUUUUGUAAAUUAUAAGGAUCAUGAUCAAAGACAUAAAUUAAUGCAAUGCCCCAAUGUUACAAUUA
Long non-coding RNA from Rosa rugosa (rugosa rose), 299 nucleotides. RefSeq lists it as uncharacterized. The transcript has 2 exons. Lineage: Eukaryota; Viridiplantae; Streptophyta; Magnoliopsida; Rosales; Rosaceae. The record is from RefSeq and is a predicted model, not a curated record.